UCUUCUGGUUCCUCCCGCUGUUCUGAUCCCUUGGAUUCCCCCGGUGCUGCUCGGACCCACUCCUGCCCCAGCUUCCCACGGACACCCGUCUCCUCCACCGUGUGCUAGGCUGAGACCGCACUGCCCCCUCCCCGGUCAGGUUCCCAGCGCUUCGUGUGUGUUCCGGUUCCCUGGUCCCCGUUCGUGUGCCCCAGCGUCUGCUGUGGCAGAUUAGCUCUCGUCCUCCCUGUUGUUCCUUGAGAAUAAAACCCGUGAAAUCUAA
This is a long non-coding RNA of Fundulus heteroclitus (mummichog), 262 nucleotides long. RefSeq lists it as uncharacterized. NCBI's taxonomy places the organism in Eukaryota, Metazoa, Chordata, Actinopteri, Cyprinodontiformes, Fundulidae. The record is from RefSeq and is a predicted model, not a curated record. The transcript has 2 exons.